This is a long non-coding RNA of Prionailurus viverrinus (fishing cat), 586 nucleotides long. RefSeq lists it as uncharacterized. The transcript has 3 exons. Lineage: Eukaryota; Metazoa; Chordata; Mammalia; Carnivora; Felidae. The record is from RefSeq and is a predicted model, not a curated record.
CUCCCCAACGUCCAGCUGCGUGUCCCACGUUUUCGCUCAGCCCCACGCUGUGUCCCUGAGGAGGCCUCAGAUCCCACCCGGUCAGGGCUCAGUCCCGGGACUCUGUUCCUCAACCCCCAUUUCAGUUGUGGGUCGUGAGGGGUGGGUCCCCAGGGUCCUCGCGACUUCUGUCCACCUUGGCUGGACAUCUCGCGAUCGCGCGAUCGCACGCUCGCCCUCGUCAGAGUAAAGCAUUUGCUAGGGCAGCUCUCAGAACUCAGGGAAACACGUUUACCCGCUUAUUAAAGGACACGACAAAGGUGCAGAUGAACAGCCAGACGAAGAGUCGCGUGGGCUUCCCAGGGAGGUGAAUGUUACGAUUCCUACACUGCCAGUGAGAAGCCUACAACCCAGACAGACCAGGAAGGAUAAGAUUGCCAUUUCCUUUGAUGAAGCCAAUUUAACUCUCGUAUGAAAACUUGAUGAAAGACAGUACACUAAAAGUAGAUUACAGUCCAGUCUCACUGGUGAAUACUGAUGCAAACAUCCUAAUGUGUACUAGCUCACUGAAUUCAAUGAUUAAAAGAAUAUACUAUAUUGUGAUAAA